AAGAAGCACCGGCUAACUACGUGCCAGCAGCCGCGGUAAUACGUAGGGUGCGAGCGUUAAUCGGAAUUACUGGGCGUAAAGCGUGCGCAGGCGGUUUGGUAAGACAGACGUGAAAUCCCCGGGCUUAACCUGGGAACUGCGUUUGUGACUGCCAGACUAGAGUGUAGCAGAGGGGGGUAGAAUUCCACGUGUAGCAGUGAAAUGCGUAGAGAUGUGGAGGAAUACCGAUGGCGAAGGCAGCCCCCUGGGCUAACACUGACGCUCAUGCACGAAAGCGUGGGGAGCAA
RNAcentral lists this ribosomal RNA (287 nucleotides) under uncultured beta proteobacterium. RNAcentral describes it as "partial 16S ribosomal RNA". It matches the Rfam family "Bacterial small subunit ribosomal RNA", at positions 485 to 771 of the family's 1533-position model. Lineage: Bacteria; Pseudomonadati; Pseudomonadota; Betaproteobacteria. The record is from RNAcentral.